Molecule: ribosomal RNA, 1497 nt
Filed under: Bacillus cereus
Lineage: Bacteria; Bacillati; Bacillota; Bacilli; Caryophanales; Bacillaceae
Description: partial 23S ribosomal RNA
Rfam family: Bacterial large subunit ribosomal RNA
Source: RNAcentral
AAGGGCGCACGGUGGAUGCCUUGACACUAGGAGUCGAUGAAGGACGGGACUAACGCCGAUAUGCUUCGGGGAGCUGUAAGUAAGCUUUGAUCCGAAGAUUUCCGAAUGGGGAAACCCACCAUACGUAAUGGUAUGGUAUCCUUAUCUGAAUACAUAGGGUAAGGAAGACAGACCCAGGGAACUGAAACAUCUAAGUACCUGGAGGAAGAGAAAGCAAAUGCGAUUUCCUGAGUAGCGGCGAGCGAAACGGAACAUAGCCCAAACCAAGAGGCUUGCCUCUUGGGGUUGUAGGACAUUCUAUACGGAGUUACAAAGGAACGAGGUAGACGAAGCGACCUGGAAAGGUCCGUCGUAGAGGGUAACAACCCCGUAGUCGAAACUUCGUUCUCUCUUGAAUGUAUCCUGAGUACGGCGGAACACGUGAAAUUCCGUCGGAAUCUGGGAGGACCAUCUCCCAAGGCUAAAUACUCCCUAGUGAUCGAUAGUGAACCAGUACCGUGAGGGAAAGGUGAAAAGCACCCCGGAAGGGGAGUGAAAGAGAUCCUGAAACCGUGUGCCUACAAAUAGUCAGAGCCCGUUAACGGGUGAUGGCGUGCCUUUUGUAGAAUGAACCGGCGAGUUACGAUCCCGUGCGAGGUUAAGCUGAAGAGGCGGAGCCGCAGCGAAAGCGAGUCUGAAUAGGGCGUUUAGUACGUGGUCGUAGACCCGAAACCAGGUGAUCUACCCAUGUCCAGGGUGAAGUUCAGGUAACACUGAAUGGAGGCCCGAACCCACGCACGUUGAAAAGUGCGGGGAUGAGGUGUGGGUAGCGGAGAAAUUCCAAUCGAACCUGGAGAUAGCUGGUUCUCCCCGAAAUAGCUUUAGGGCUAGCCUUAAGUGUAAGAGUCUUGGAGGUAGAGCACUGAUUGGACUAGGGGUCCUCAUCGGAUUACCGAAUUCAGUCAAACUCCGAAUGCCAAUGACUUAUCCUUAGGAGUCAGACUGCGAGUGAUAAGAUCCGUAGUCAAAAGGGAAACAGCCCAGACCGCCAGCUAAGGUCCCAAAGUGUGUAUUAAGUGGAAAAGGAUGUGGAGUUGCUUAGACAACUAGGAUGUUGGCUUAGAAGCAGCCACCAUUUAAAGAGUGCGUAAUAGCUCACUAGUCGAGUGACUCUGCGCCGAAAAUGUACCGGGGCUAAAUACACCACCGAAGCUGCGGAUUGAUACCAAUGGUAUCAGUGGUAGGGGAGCGUUCUAAGGACAGUGAAGUCAGACCGGAAGGACUGGUGGAGUGCUUAGAAGUGAGAAUGCCGGUAUGAGUAGCGAAAGACGGGUGAGAAUCCCGUCCACCGAAUGCCUAAGGUUUCCUGAGGAAGGCUCGUCCGCUCAGGGUUAGUCAGGACCUAAGCCGAGGCCGACAGGCGUAGGCGAUGGACAACAGGUUGAUAUUCCUGUACCACCUCUUUAUCGUUUGAGCAAUGGAGGGACGCAGAAGGAUAGAAGAAGCGUGCGAUUGGUU